ACUUUUAGCCGGUUAACUCAGAAAACGAGCUGCACCAACCGGACACUUCAUCCCGGAAAUACGGAAGCCAGUGCGGAAGAGCUGCGGUCCGUCUCCCGGUCGCCAUCGAACAUAUAGUGAACAACAGCCUAAUGGUGACGCUAGCUUACUGAGAUAAGAGCUACACGGGAUUUUGCUCCAUUGCAACAAACAGUGUGUAUGUUUCAUUAUUAUUAUUUUUGCUUUAAAAGCGCUAAGGCCAUAAGAUGGCCGAGUACACACCGCUUCUCUAAACGCACUUCUUGGUUUCUUUGAACGCCAGAUUGACUGCUCUGCAUUGCUCUCUUGUUUACCCAGGAGUCAGGACUAACAAGUAUAAAAGAAGACUGAGUACAAAAGAAAAAAAAAAAACCUACAGAGGUGUGCCCACUACAGUUAUCAUAAACAGUUACAAAGUCAAGCGGAUCGGAGUGAACUAGAUGUAAAAAACAUGGGUCAGUUUCCUGUACGGAAGAAACAGCGUAGAAAGAGCAUUACAGAGCCUCCUAUUAUGAGUACUGAAGAUACAUCAUUGAGAGCAAUCAUACUUGGAAGCUCUGGUCAUCAGCAGUUCUCUCUCACCGAGUCGAUCCUGCAGAGCGUGGUCUUUGACGGCACUGAUCCUCACACUAUACUCACUACUAAAACUUCUGGAAGCCUCUUUGGGAAGAAAUGUGACUCUGGUCAACACUCCAAAUCUUGACAAUUACAAGUUUAAAAAGGAACUGAAGAAGGCGGUUCGGUUCUCCUGUCCAGGGCCACACGCCGUCCUGUUUACUGUAAGUCCGUUAGACAUGCCGCCAAACGCGUACGAAAUUUUCAAACCGGUAGUGGAGUACUUUGGAGAGCAAAUCUUGGACAACACAAUGAUUGUUUUAUACCAUGAGGAAGAGCAGUGGAGGCAGUCGUUAGAGGACAAAGUGAUGAAGAAUCGUGACUUUAGAGAGCUUCUAGACCAGUGUCAUCGAAGGUGCCUAGUCUUCAACGGAAGAAGGGAAGAGAGUAGCAUGGCAAAAGAAUUGUUGGACAAAAUAGACGAGAUGGUGGCAAAGCAUGGUGUUUUUUCAAACCUGGAAUAUAAAGACGUGGCUCAACAAUUCACACAUCAGGAAAUAAUCGUGGAAAAUCAAGAGAAAGAAGGAGGUCGGUGCAGUGCUAGAGGAACCGGAGAAGAAGCAUUCUCAGGAUGCUUUCCACGGGUCCUUAAAAAGUCUUCAAAUCUCUUAAAUUCCUGAAUGUGAAAAUAAGGCCUUCAGUAGCAUUAAAGUCUCUUAGAUUCACGUUUCAGAGGUCUUACAAACGCAACCGACCCGACAUCGUAAACAUGAUUUAGAUGUUAUUUUCUCUCGUCGCUGUUUGAGAUGGUAAACCUGUGUGUGUGUGCGCGCGCGCGCGUGUGCGCGUGUCUCACAUCCGUGUUUUAGAGCGGCUCAGUUCACAGGAAACGCUCCAAACCAGCUUCAUCUCAGUCUGAGUUGAGUUUGACUCGUUUAUACGUGUGUUUAGACCCGGCGUGCAUCGACACGCAUUCACUUUGGGCUUGUUUACGUUAGUCAUCUCAACCACUCCUGUGGGACGAGGUUUACAGCAUUUCACCUGAUCGGUAAUGUGAGAAUUUUUUUUAGCAUUAAAGUCUGUAACAGACAUUAGUCAUUGAAGGCAUUAAAGUCUGUUUCAGAGGUCUUACAAAUGCAACAAGAUUUAGAUGUUAUUUUCUCUAGUCGCUGUUAGGGAUGGUAUCCCAUCUGUGUUUUUGUGGCUCGGUUCACAGUUAGUUAAAGUAGUAAAUGUUUGUGUUACUGUUUGUGUUACUCGACCUUAGUGCAGCUUUUAAUAAAAAGCUACUUAUAUAGCGCUUUUAUCCAAAGGAGCAGUUCUCUCCUGGCUCAACUCUUAUCUGACUGAUCGUUAUCAGUUCGUAGAUGUAAAUAGUGAUUUCUCCAUGCGUACUGAGGUUAUAGAGCCCCACAGUUAUGGAACGGUCUUCCUAUUAUUUAAUAUAUAUAAAAUAAAAAUGUAUGUAUAUUUACAACACUACUUUUUAUACUUGUUAACUGGGAUUAAAUUACAAAACAACCUGGUAAACACUGCUACGAGGGAGUUUCUCAUACAGCUGCUGAGGGCACGAGGGUGAAGCCCACGGCUUUUUCUUGGCUGAUUGCUGAAAUCCGUCUCUAUGGUUUUUUCCAUUCUUGGAAAGUCAUGGAAAAGAAAUACUGUAUUUAUUUUUGUUGGAGCACAUGGUAACACAAAAAGGAUAUUUUUAUGCAUACGUUACCAAAAAGUGCUCUCAAGUCUUUAUUUCACUUUGUAGUUCUAAGACCUAGAUAGAUGCUUGUAUAUUAUUUAUCUGUUGCACUAAUCAUUUUUAUUUAUUUUUUUUUUAUUAAUCAUUAUUUAAAUAUGGACAAUUUAAGGCUACGUUCACGCAGCAGGCAAAACUGACAAACGUUACACAGGUUUGUUACUGACAUGGCUGUUUUAACAACAGAAGACAGAUUGAAUCUGACAUUUUUAUUUCCACUCUCAUAUGUGGUACUGAAAUCCGAUACGUGGUCGUGCAAUUCAUACAAUUCAACUCGACAGUCGUCGUAAUUUCGUACUACUGGGAAGGAAAGACUAACCACUGCUGUUUUAUUUUUGUUUCGUUUGUUAAUUAUCAGUGAAUCCAGUCUGUAAUAUAAAUGCUCUUUUUGUACUGAGGAGGACGUGUUAAGCUUUGAAACUUUCAAAGCUUAAUGUCAAUGUUUAUUGAUGUCAAUAUUGCGAUGUCAAUAAUAAUUGCAUAUGUCAAUAAUUGCGAUGUCAAUAAUAAUUGCGAUGUCAAUAAUAAUGUUGUCAAUAAUAAUAUUGCGAUGACAAUAUUAAUAAUGUCAAUAUUGCGAUGUCAAUAUUUUUUAACGGAACGAAGAUCUCUUAAAUGUCGGAAAAUCAAGGAAAAGUUUUUGUUUUGUUUGUCUCAUCUUGUAGACGUGAAAUAACCAGAAUCAAUCUUUAGAGUUUAUGAGUUUACCACCGGCCACAAGGAAACAGUCAGAUGCUCACUGACCCAACUGUAAAGUAUACAGUGGCUAUGAGGUGGAUUUACUCGUAUACAGUCGCUUUUUGCCUCCAGACAUUUUGAUGGUGCUCAUGACAGAAAAUUAAAAUAAGGGUCUGAAUUGACCACAACACACAAUGCCUAUUGGAGUGCUGAUGCUGCCUGGUGCUGAUACUCUCAGGAAUAGGCUUGUGCAAUAUUAAUUUUCUGAAUGUAGUCAAGUUUAUUUGGUGCAGUUCUAAAAAUGUGAUCUUUGGGCCUUUUUGACCCUCCUCACUAUGUGGAGGUUCAGUGUGCUCAUGAGUCCAAUACCUAUUAAAUUUCACCCAUUUCAGAUGUGAAACUUUUUUACUGUAUGGCCUCAAAAGCAUUUUUAACUGGGUGUGUGUUUCUUUUUAUCCAUUACCGGAUUUGUGCAGCUCAACAAUCAUCUGUCAUUUUUUUUUUUAUCAUUGUUUGUUUAAUUUGUUUUCCCAUCCCAUGUGGUUGACAAAGUGAUGUUACAUGUGUGCAACCUUAUAUUUAAUACCCCACUGAAACAGCACAUGGUUAAAAGCAACCAGUUCCUACAGGAUGAGAACAAAUUAUAAAAACACUUCACAUUGUUCAAGAAUGACAAUUUAUUUUAAUUUAUUUACAAAUCUUUAGGUGUGUCAAUACCAUUGGUACAGAUAGUUUUGAGAAAAAGACAUUAUUAUGUUAAAAAGUAGUUUGAACAAGUUUACUUUUUGUAUAUUACAGAGAUAUUUAACUGUUGAAGUGGAAAAUUUCAUUGUUGUGUUUAAUGUUUUUUUUUAUUUUAUUUUUUAUAAAGGGUGCCAAUAAUUCUGGAGGGCAUAUGGAGCACUUUCUCCCCAAAGAAACAUAAUGAAUAAUGAAUGUUAAGAAUUUGAUCAGACAGGGAAGGUAUUUGUCUGAUAUUGUUUACUAUUGUUGCUUUAAAAUAUUCUAGAUUCUCUUUACAUGUGGUUUAUAAUGUCACAAUAAUGCAGCAUCCAUAUAUUUUAUGUGUUAGGCUUUUAUUGUUGUAUUUUGUUCACACAUUUGUGUAUCUCAUGUUGAUUUGACGCACUAAAGGCCGUGUCCAUUGUUCAUUUGGGCAAUGAACAGUUUCUGAUUGUGGCUGUCAGAUUGGACUUGUAAUUUGUGAUGAACAUUGUCUGUCCAAUUGAAGGAAAUAAAUAAUAAAGCACAAUAUUUGCA
Ictalurus punctatus (channel catfish) is the source of this 4261-nucleotide long non-coding RNA. RefSeq lists it as uncharacterized. NCBI's taxonomy places the organism in Eukaryota, Metazoa, Chordata, Actinopteri, Siluriformes, Ictaluridae. The transcript has 6 exons. The record is from RefSeq and is a predicted model, not a curated record.